AAAAGAAAAAAGAAAAGAAAGAAAUAUAACCCAGACUGGGCAUGGUGGCUCACACCUAUAAUCCCAGCACUUUGCCAGGCCAAGGCAGGUGGAUCGCUUGAGGCGGAGGUUGCAGUGAGCUGAGAUCACGCCACUGCACACCAGCCUGGGCAACAAAAGCGAAAGUCCAUCUAAAAAAAAAAAAAAAAAAAAAAAACAAAAAACCCUUAAAGAAAAGAAACAUAACCCAAAGGUUGUGAUUUCUUAUUUAUAGCUGGAACAUAGUAGGUGAGUGAGUGUAUUAAUUUGCUAAGGCUUCCAUAGCGAAAUACUACAGACUGAGUGGCUUAACCAACAGAAAUUUACUUCCUCACAGCUCUGAGGCUAGAAGUCUGAGAUCAAGGUGUUGGCAGGAUUCGUUUUGUUGUUGUUGUCUUCCAAGUCUCUCUCCGCUUUGGCUUGUAGAUGACCAUCUUUUUCCUUCUGUCUUCCUCAUGGUCUUCCCUUUGUGCAUGUCAUUGUCUUAAUCUCCUCUUCUUAUUAAAAAACCAGUCAUAUUGAAUUAGGGUACACCCUAAUGACCUCAUUUUAACUUAAUCACCUCUUUAAAGACUUUAUUUCCAAGUACAGUUACAUCUGAAGUGCUGGCGAUUAGGGCUUCAGGAUAUGAAUUUUGGGAGGAGGACAAAUGAGUACCCAAAAUUCUGAGUUGCAAUGCCCUUGUAUUAGGCCACUCUCUCAUUGCUAUAAAGAAAUACCUAAGACUGGGUAAUUUAUAAAAAAAAGAGGUGUCAUUGGCUCAUGGUUAUGCAGGCUAUACAAGAAGCAUAGAGGCUUUGCUUCUGGGGAGGCCUCACCAGGAAGCUUCCAAUCAUAGUGGAAGGCAAAGGGGGAGCAAGCUUCUUACAUGGCAGGAAGGGGAGCAGGGGAGAGAGAAAGGGGAGGGGCGCAACACACUCUUAAAUAACCAGAUCUCAUGAGAACUCACUCACUAUCUCCAGGACAGUACCGAGGAGAUGGUGUUAAACCAUUCAUGAGAAAUACACACUCUCACAAUCCAAUCACCUCUGACCGGGCCCCACAUUCAACACUGGGGAUUACGAUUUAACAUGAGAUUUGGUGGGGACACAGAUUCAAACCAUAUUAGUCCUCAUCUCUCAAAUAGAGACGAUGACACCUACCUCGGUGCAGGGGAAGCCCUUAGGACAGAGUAGGGGUUUGAUUAAUAAAAAUAUUCUUUCUGGUACCAGCUCAAUGACCUGCCAUUAAUCCAGUUUCUGUUCUGGAGGCGGAUGAGGGGAGGAGAGAUGACUCCCUCAGCCACUGGUCUGGUCUGGAAUCUCUCUCUUCAAAGCAUUGUCCCCAUCCCACCAGCAUCAUUUGUGAGCUUUUUGGAAAUGCAGAAUCUCGGACCCCACGCCAGAUCUAUACUGAGUCAGAAGCUCAGCCUCCCAAGCAGCUGGGACUACAGGAGCAUACAACUAAGCCUGGCUAAUUUUUGUGUGGUUUUUUUUUUUUUUUUUUUUGAGUUUUUUUUGUUGUUGUUGUUGUUGGUUUUGUAGAGACAGGGUAUUGCUAUGUUUCCCCAGGUGGUUUUGAACCCCUGGGCUCAAGCAAUCCUCCUGCUUGGCCUCCCAAAGUGCUGGGAUUACAAGCAUGAGCUGCCGCACCUGGCCCUGAAUAUAAAAAAAUUGAAAAAGAAAGCAAAAAGAGAGAGAUUGGUCGAAUUACUCAGAGACGCUGAGCUACAGAGGGAAAAAAAACAGAACUCAAAUCCUGCAUUGAAAGUCUGAGCUCUUAAUCACGAUGUUGUACACUUCUGUUGUACCUAUGAGGAACUAUAUAAAAGAUACAAAGGAAAGAGGCCUAUAAUCACCAGAACUUCUGUUAUCUGUCAGGCAUCUCCAUGGGCAUAUUCUAUUUAAUCUUUGCAGCAGUCCUAUGGGAUUGAUUUUAUUAUCACGAUUAUUCUUUUCUUUUUUCUUUUUACCAAUGAGAAAAUAAAGAGGCACAGAGGUCGGGAGCAGAGGAGGGUGGUAAAACACAGGUAGUGUCAGAAUUGAUGGCCACACAGCCUGUGGGGGUGCAGAGGAAAGAGGGGGAACAGUCUGUUGGUGGGAAGAAGCUGAAGGGGUGUGGAGAAUCCCCGGUCAAUGAUCCACUUUCUUACAAUGUGCUGUGGCUUGAAUGUAUCAUA
RNAcentral lists this long non-coding RNA (2176 nucleotides) under Homo sapiens (human). Its description in RNAcentral is "non-protein coding lnc-C16orf72-16:1". The record is from RNAcentral. Lineage: Eukaryota; Metazoa; Chordata; Mammalia; Primates; Hominidae.